GGAGGGGUGGCCGAGUGGUUGAAGGCGCCGGUUUUGAAAACCGGUGUGGCCGUCAGGUCACCGGGGGUUCGAAUCCCCCCCCCUCCGCCA
RNAcentral lists this transfer RNA (90 nucleotides) under Planctomycetota bacterium. Its description in RNAcentral is "Planctomycetes bacterium (sediment metagenome) tRNA-Ser". It matches the Rfam family "tRNA". From Rfam's summary of the family: Transfer RNA (tRNA) molecules are approximately 80 nucleotides in length. Their secondary structure includes four short double-helical elements and three loops (D, anti-codon, and T loops). Further hydrogen bonds mediate the characteristic L-shaped molecular structure. tRNAs have two regions of fundamental functional importance: the anti-codon, which is responsible for specific mRNA codon recognition, and the 3' end, to which the tRNAs corresponding amino acid is attached (by aminoacyl-tRNA synthetases). tRNAs cope with the degeneracy of the genetic code in two manners: having more than one tRNA (with a specific anti-codon) for a particular amino acid; and 'wobble' base-pairing, i.e. permitting non-standard base-pairing at the 3rd anti-codon position. The record is from RNAcentral. Lineage: Bacteria; Pseudomonadati; Planctomycetota.